RNAcentral lists this unclassified non-coding RNA (216 nucleotides) under Hevea brasiliensis (rubber tree). Lineage: Eukaryota; Viridiplantae; Streptophyta; Magnoliopsida; Malpighiales; Euphorbiaceae. The record is from RNAcentral.
CCCGUCUAAAGCAACUGAUAAUACCAUGAUACCCUAUAGUCCUGUUCUCUCUGCUCAGACAGCAGCUUAAUCUCGGAAUCAUACAACAGGCUAUCUUUGUAAUUGGUAAUAGCAUCUUGAUUCACCAUGACUCCUCAUCUAAAUGAUCCUUGUAUGGUCUUUUUCCUUUAAAGUCUUGCUGCUUGAUUCUUGAUUUCCUACAACUCCUGCGCUUAC